RNAcentral lists this ribosomal RNA (253 nucleotides) under uncultured bacterium. RNAcentral's name for it is "partial 16S ribosomal RNA". It matches the Rfam family "Bacterial small subunit ribosomal RNA", at positions 524 to 776 of the family's 1533-position model. The record is from RNAcentral.
UACGAGGGGCCCAAGCGUUAUUCGGAAUUACUGGGCUUAAAGAGUUCGUAGGCGGCAUUGCAAGUCGGGCGUGAAAGCCCUCGGCUCAACCGAGGAAUUGCGCUCUAAACUGCAGUGCUUGAGGAAGCUAGAGGUGAGCAGAACAGAUGGUGGAGCGGUGAAAUGCGCAGAUAUCAGGAGGAACACCGGUGGCGAAGGCGGCACUCUGGGCCGGCACUGACGCUGAGGAUCGAAAGCGAGGGGAGCGAACAGG